CAGCACCUCAAGUGGUCAGGAUGAUUAUUGGGCCUAAAGCAUCCGUAGCUUGCUUUGUCAGUUUUCGGUUAAAUCCAUACGCUCAACGUAUGGGCUGCCGGGAAUACUGCAAAGCUAGGGAGUGGGAGAGGUAGACGGUACUCGGUAGGAAGGGGUAAAAUCCUUUGAUCUAUUGAUGACCACCUGUGGCGAAGGCGGUCUACCAGAACACGUCCGACGGUGAGGGAUGAAAGCUGGGGGAGCAAACCGGAUUAGAGACCCGAGUAGUCC
This 270-nucleotide ribosomal RNA is filed under the name uncultured archaeon. RNAcentral's name for it is "partial 16S ribosomal RNA". It matches the Rfam family "Archaeal small subunit ribosomal RNA", at positions 477 to 747 of the family's 1478-position model. The record is from RNAcentral.